Salvia miltiorrhiza (redroot sage) is the source of this 2013-nucleotide RNA transcript. It is a transcript of the gene named ATP-dependent DNA helicase Q-like 3, with no coding region annotated. The record is from RefSeq and is a predicted model, not a curated record. The transcript is spliced from 2 exons. Lineage: Eukaryota; Viridiplantae; Streptophyta; Magnoliopsida; Lamiales; Lamiaceae.
AAUUGGGAUCAGAUAGUGGAGUGUGAAGAUGAGUGAAGGCAAGAAGUAUCAGCUGGGGACGAUUAGAGCGUUGAGUCUUUCAGUGGUUUCAUCUGUUUCGAUCGUGAUAUGCAACAAGGCACUCAUUAGCACUCUUGGCUUCACUUUUUGCCACACUUAGAAACCGAGCUCAUUCUAAUUUAUUGCUAAUUGUAUGAAAUUUGAUGACAUUGUGUUUUGGGUGGACUAAAAAUUCUCUCUUUUUUCAGCCAUUAUACUAAUAACACAAUCUUGGCUAUCUAUUAUUAUACUAAUAACACAAUCUUGGCAAUGGUUUUGGUGUUUGAUCUUAUAUACCACAGCAACCUCAUAAUGCUUAUUUAAUCUUGUUCUCUUGCAGCUUCAACGUCGAAUGAAGAUUGCUGAAUUGAAGCAGAUUUGUACUAGACCUGAUGUUGUUGAGGUCGACACUGAAUUUCUUAUAAGUAUUUUAUAUUGAUCUAGCUUCCACCUAUUUUUGCCUUCGUACAAGCCUUUGUUUGUUAAUCCUUGUAGACUUAUAUAUUGACCAGCACCAACCUUCUUAUCUUUAAAUAUUUGGCAAUGUUAUGAUGCAAGCUAUGAUACGAUUGGGUUAUGAGAGUUCUUACGUGUUUUAACAAAAUACUGGGAAGGGAUGGAGCAUUUUUGAGUAAAGCAAGGCCGAUUAUUAGCUGUGCUUGGCUGGAUAUAUUAUUACUUCUAUAUCAUGUUUAUGAACUCAGCUUGGUAUUGAAGUAGAACUGCUACUUCUUGUGAACUUUAAUCUACAUGGCUGCUAAUGCAAAAGAUGAUGAAACUACUUUUCUCAUUUUCUAUUUCUUCAUAUAUCAAGUCUUUCCAGAGGCAUGGUCACUGUUGUCUUAUAAAAAGUGAAUAAGGAUUAUGUCGUGUUAUGCUCCACCACUUCCAAUUUGAAACCAGUGUUUUUAUAUAUGAUAUUCUCAAAAUCCCCUUGCUGACUGAGAAUAACUGAGCUAUCUCAGGUGACUCGCCAGAUAGUUGUGAACAAAGAGUGAAGUUCUAUAAGGAUUGUGUAUUCCUGCUUUUACUAGGAUCUGAUUAUAUGUAGGGUGCUGCAGAACAACUGCAAUUUGGUCUACUUUAGAAUAUUACUUGAUUCUUUCCAGUAAAUCAAACAGCUACUUCUAUUGCUUUCUAGGUAUGGGAUGCAACUUCAGCAGAUCCAAAGCUGUUGGUAUAUCUGAAGUCAUACCGAAACACUGUUGCACACGUUUGUCACUAUUUGGUGAUUCCUUAUCUGUAUUACCACACACGUUUGUCACCUUUUUAUUAUGUUGUUGCCAUUGCUUCUGCAUCAAGAGGUAUUCUAGCUUGCACUAGCUUUUCUAAUAUCAUUAACACGUACUGUUAUUUACCUUUGUUACAAAAAGUGUGGAUUUGUGGUAGACAUAAGUCUAAAGGUAGAGCUAUGGUUUCUGUAUUGUUUUGAUAAGCUUCUUUACCUUACAAUUUCAAUCUGUUCACAUGUACUGAUUUAUUUAGUAUCAUCAUGCAGUGCUUCAGACACCUAUGGUGAUGACUGAUGAACAAUUAUCAGAGUUCUGGAAUCGAAAUGAUGAAGCUAGUGGAUCUGAGGAAGAAAUUUCUGAUUCUGAUGGGUUCCUGUAGUGGCUAUGGUAACACUACAUGUUUUUGCUCCUCUAUGUUAUGUAUGUCUCCAUCUUCUAUUUUUUCCAAAUCCAGUUCUUGCAUUCCCCUCUAUUUUUUCCAUUUCAGGUAGCUUCUUUGCUUGAUUAUGUAUUUCUUUCUACAUUUUAUGCCUGCUGGAUUAUAGAUUCAUUUCAGGUUCAAGAGAUUCUGCCUGAAGUAUAAAGGUUACAAGUCUAUUGGUGCUAGAAACAUUGUAUGAUAGAUUUUUGUUUUAGCUAUAAGGUUGUUGGUAUUUUCAAUUUUGAAUCGGAAUAUGCAAUGAUGAUGUAUACUUGAUAUUUGGUUCAUUUGUAUAAUAAUGUAUGAAUUUUUUGGAUGAUA